AUCAAGCUGACGAGUCCCAAAUAGGACGAAACGCGCUCUUUGGAU
Molecule: non-coding RNA, 45 nt
Filed under: Schistosoma mattheei
Lineage: Eukaryota; Metazoa; Platyhelminthes; Trematoda; Strigeidida; Schistosomatidae
Source: RNAcentral